Molecule: long non-coding RNA, 1747 nt
Organism: Taeniopygia guttata (zebra finch)
Lineage: Eukaryota; Metazoa; Chordata; Aves; Passeriformes; Estrildidae
Source: Ensembl
GGCCAGGCCGGACAGAACCAUUUGUGCCGUGGGGGGGGGAAAUUCCCCAAUAUCCCCUUUUUGCCCAUUUUUCCCCCGAUUUUUUCCCAUUUUUUCCCCAAUUUUUUCCCAUUUUUCCCCAUUUUUCCCCCAAUUUUUCCCUUUUUUCCCCAUUUUUUCCCAUUUUUCCCAUUUCUUUCCCCGUUUUCCCCAGUGCACAUCCAGGAGAACCUGGAGGACGCCCUGGUGCAGGAGGCGCUGCAGACCGGCGUGGACCUGCGGCAGUAUUCCCGGCAGGUGGAGCUGGAGCUGCAGGAGGUGGAGAGAGCCUCGAUCCAGGACUGUAUCCCCCAAAAAUUGUCCCCAAAACUGUCCCCGAGGUGUCCCCAAGUGUCCCCAAAAUGUCCCCAGGGUGUCCCCAGACUGUCCCCAAUUGUCCCCAAGGGCACAAUCCCCGAAAAUCCCCAAAUUUGGCACCAAAAUCCCCAAAUUUGGCACCAAAAUCCCCAAAUUUGGCACCAAAAUCCCCAAAUUUGGCACCAAUUUCCCUGAGGUUGGACCCAAAUUCUCUACAAUUGUCCCCAAAAUGUCCCCAAGUCCCCAAAAAUGUCCCCAGGCACCCCAAAAGUGACCCCAGGUCCUCCCAAAGUGUCCCCAAGUGUCCCCAGGGUGUCCCAGUGUCCCCAAAGUGUCACCAAACACCCAAAAAUGCCCCAAAACCGCUUCAAAAUGCCCCAAAAUGUCCCCAAAUCCCCAUAAACUGUCCCCAAAAAAUGUCCCCAAGUGUCCCCAGGGUGUCCCCGAGUGUCCCCAAGGUGUCCCCAAGGUGUCCCUGAUGUCCCCAAAGUGUCACCAAACACCCAAAAAUGCCUCAAAACCGCCUCAAAAUGCCCCAAAACAUCCCCAAAUCCCCAGAAAUUGUCCCCAAAAAUUGUCCCCAAGUGUCUCCUGAGUGUCCCCAAUUGUCCCCAAGUGUCCCCAAGUGUCCCCAAGUGUCCCCAGGGUGUCCCAGUGUCCCCAAAGUGUCACCAAACACCCAAAUAUGCCCCAAAACCGCCUCAAAAUGCCCCAAAAUGUCCCCAAAUCCCCAAAAAUUGUCCCCAAAAAUUGUCCCCAAGUGUCCCCAGACUGUCCCCAAGUGUCCCCAAGGGCGAAAUCCCCGAAAAUCCCCAAAUUUGGCACCAAAAUCCCCAAAUUUGGCACCAAAAUCUCCAAAUUUGGCACCAAUUUCCCUGGGGUUGGACCCAAAUUCUCUACAAUUGUCCCCUAAAUGUCCCCAAAUCCCCAAAAAUGUCCCCAGGAACCCCAAAAGUGUCCCCAGGUCCUCUCAAAGUGUCCCCAAGUGUCCCCGAGUGUCCCCAAGGUGUCCUUGAUGUCCCCAAGGUGUCCCUGAUGUCCCCAAAGCGUCACCAAACACCCAAAAAUGCCCCAAAACCGCCUCAAAAUGCCCCAAAACAGCCCCAAAUCCCCAAAAAUUGUCCCCAAAAACUGUCCCCAAGUGUCCCCAAGUGUCCCCAAGUGUCCCCAAAGUGUCCCUGAUGUCCCCCGGGUGUCCCAGUGUCCCCAAAGUGUCACCAAACACUCAAAAAUGCCCCAAAACAGCCUCAAAAUGCCCCAAAACGUCCCCAAAUCCCCCAAAAUUGUCCCCAGAAAUUGUCCCCAGGGUGUCCCCAAGUGUCCCCAGGGUGUCCCCAAGGUGUCCCCAAGUGUCUCCAAGGUGUCCCCAGGGUGUCCCUGAUGUCCCCAGGGUGUCCCUGAUGUCCCCAAA